This 467-nucleotide ribosomal RNA is filed under the name uncultured bacterium. RNAcentral describes it as "partial 16S ribosomal RNA". It matches the Rfam family "Bacterial small subunit ribosomal RNA", at positions 28 to 506 of the family's 1533-position model. The record is from RNAcentral.
GACGAACGCUGGCGGCGUGCUUAACACAUGCAAGUCGAACGGAAAGGCCCUGCUUUUGUGGGGUGCUCGAGUGGCGAACGGGUGAGUAACACGUGAGUAACCUGCCCUUGACUUUGGUAUAACUUCAGGAAACUGGGGCUAAUACCGGAUAGGAGCUCCUGCUGCAUGGUGGGGGUUGGAAAGUUUCGGCGGUUGGGGAUGGACUCGCGGCUUAUCAGCUUGUUGGUGGGGUAGUGGAUUACCAAGGCUUUGACGGGUAGCCGGCCUGAGAGGGUGACCGGCCACAUUGGGACUGAGGUACGGCCCAUACUCCUACGGGAGGCAGCAGUGGAGAAUAUUGCACAAUGGGCGGAAGCCGGAUGCAGCAACGCCGCGUGCGGGAUGACGGCCUUCGGGUUGUAAACCGCUUUCGCCUGUGACGAAGCGUGAGUAACGGUAAUGGGUAAAGAAGCACCGGCUAACUACGU